AUGGAGGCGUCAACUGAAGAACACCGCACCGCCGUCAAGCACAUCUUGAGGUACAUUGUCGGCACCCUGCAUCUGGGUUGCAAGUACAACAGAGGAGCUGGUGAGCCUGAACUCACCGGAUACAGCAACAGUGACCUUGGCGGCGAUGUGGACAUCCGCAAGAGCACCUCCGGGACCCUGUUCUUGCUCGGAGGAGGAGCGAUAACCUGGCAGUCGCAGAAACAGAAGAUUGUGGCACUCUCUAGCUGCGAAUCAAAGUAUGUUGCAGCAACCACAGCUGCCUGUCAGGGAAUAUGGCUCGCGCGCCUGCUCGGGGAGUUCAGAGAAAUGGAGGAGAAGACAGUGAGACUCAAGGUCGACAACAAAUCUGCAAUCUCUCUGGCGAGGAACCCCGUGAUGCACGACAGAUCGAAGCACAUCGAGCUCAGGUAUCAUUUCAUCAGAGAUUGCGUGGAGACGAAGAAGAUCGAACUUGAAUAUGUGGCAACAGAAUUUCAACUUGCAGACAUGCUCACCAAGCCCCUUGGUCGCGUUCGACUGCAGCAGCUCCGUACCACAAUAUGUCCCUGGUGA
This 573-nucleotide ribosomal RNA is filed under the name Triticum aestivum (bread wheat). RNAcentral's name for it is "partial small subunit ribosomal RNA". The record is from RNAcentral. Lineage: Eukaryota; Viridiplantae; Streptophyta; Magnoliopsida; Poales; Poaceae.